RNAcentral lists this ribosomal RNA (440 nucleotides) under uncultured bacterium. RNAcentral describes it as "partial 16S ribosomal RNA". It matches the Rfam family "Bacterial small subunit ribosomal RNA", at positions 338 to 795 of the family's 1533-position model. The record is from RNAcentral.
CCUACGGGCGGCAGCAGUAGGGAAUAUUGCUCAAUGGUGGAAACCCUGAAGCAGCAACGCCGCGUGGAGGAUGAAGGUUUUCGGAUUGUAAACUCCUUUUGUUAGAGAAGAAAAUGCCGGUACCUGACGAAUAAUCACCGGCUAACUCCGUGCCAGCAGCCGCGGUACUACGGAGGGUGCAAGCGUUACUCGGAAUCACUGGGCGUAAAGCGCGCGUAGGCGGGAUAGCAAGUCAGAUGUGAAAUCCUAGGGCUUAACCAUAGAACUGCAUUUGAAACUGGUAUUCUAGAGUAGGGGAGAGGUAGGUGGAAUGCGUGGUGUAGGGGUGAAAUCCGUAGAGAUCAAGAGGAAUACUGAUUGCGAAGGCGACCUGCCGGAACAUAACUGACGCUGAGGCGCGAAAGCGUGGGGAGCAAACAGGAUUAGAUACCCCAGUAGUC